CGCCGACGCCUACCCUAACUGCCCACGACGGUUUUCCUCCCCUCUCGCGACAAAUCCCUCGGCAACUUCUUCUCCUCCUCUUCAUUUCUUCUUCCCGAGCUCUGCCCUAACCUCCCUGGAGUCCGCCGCACGGAUUAGCGCCGACACUUCUUCCUCGCGCCAAGCAGCGUCGACCCGAGCCCUAGGUGCCACCGUCGCCUCCCGAAUUCCUUUCCCUCUUCUCUGGUCCGACGAGCCACCGCCGACCGAAGUCUUCUUCCUCUUCCUCCCUGUUCAAGCACUGCCGACGCACGGAGCACUGCCGACACCGUGCUCUAGCCGAGCCCUGCCGAAGCCGUGCCCUUGCACUGUCGCCGGCCACAGAAUAGGGUUUUCAAUCUGCUGCGGCUAAAUUGGUUUUCUGAUCAGUUGAGCGUCAACAGGAGCUUGGGAUUUAGUAACUUUGUGAUCCCCAGCAGCGGCUCUGAUCUUGUUUCAGCAGCCAACAUCUUUGAUUUUGGAUCAACAGUGAUACAUACGAUUUGAGGU
Zingiber officinale is the source of this 528-nucleotide long non-coding RNA. RefSeq lists it as uncharacterized. NCBI's taxonomy places the organism in Eukaryota, Viridiplantae, Streptophyta, Magnoliopsida, Zingiberales, Zingiberaceae. The record is from RefSeq and is a predicted model, not a curated record. The transcript has 3 exons.